Molecule: ribozyme, 116 nt
Filed under: Aedes aegypti (yellow fever mosquito)
Lineage: Eukaryota; Metazoa; Arthropoda; Insecta; Diptera; Culicidae
Description: drz-agam-1 ribozyme
Rfam family: drz-agam-1 ribozyme
Source: Rfam by way of RNAcentral
UGCCCAGCAACUCCUAUCUCUACCUCCUCGCAAUACUGGCCGGGGUACAAGCAACCUUAGGGAAGAUCGUGUAACCAACCCCGGUGGGAACUUAAGUCAUAUGCUGACAUGGAAGG